AAGCAACAAAACAAGUAAAAAAUAGAGUGAGUAGAAACAGAGAGACUCAACAAAAUGGGCAAAAUCAGAUAUAAAAGGAACUAUAAGUAUCUUCCAUGUAUAUAGAUAAAAGCAAUGAUUCCAUAGAAAAGCGGGAAGAAGCACAAGCAUCAUCACCACCAUCACGGCAACAACAAUAAGAUUCAGAAACCCAUUUCCAUACACAGUGAGGUUCCGAUGAUCAGUGAUGACAAUCUCCUUAUGCUCUCCCUUCUUCUUCGUCUUCUUCUUGAAUAUAAUAUGACAAUUAAAGGAAAGAAAAGGGGUAUAUGAAAAAUGGAAAAUCUAAAAGUAAAACACUACAACUAUUGCCUGGCUCCAUUCUGUCUGCCUUGUUACUAUGUAUGAAGAACAGGGGAUUGUGCUGUACAGAGAGAGCUACAUUGCACUCUUCGCCUUAAAAAUGCACAACUAACACCUCUGUUUUACAGAGGGAAUGUCUUGAGGGUACGUUUCUCUUUCUCAACAAAGGCCAGUUUGGUCAUUGCAGGGAACUCGGUGAGAAUGAAUGAAUUGAAUGGUUGGGAUGGACAAAACCACUGUGCUUUUCUAGUGGUUUUGUCUUCUUGAGCCAUUUCAGAAACUUGCUCAGGCCCAUUGGGCCCAACCCCACCACCACUCCUCCAUCCUCCUCUCCACCCACUGAGGAAGAAGAUUGAAGCUCGCUGUCUCUCUCCUUUAUUCUGCUCUCCUCUGUUAGUGAAAGAGGGAUAUGAGAGAGGAUAUAGAGCUUGAGGGGUUUUUAAAGGGCUGGCCCAUAAGCAUUUUCUACAUGCGGCUUGUUUUGUGCUUUGGCUUUUAGUUGGCGGUAUUCUGCUUGUGCACGCGCUGACGUACGUAAAACCAAAACACUCGCUGUCUGGGAGAGAAACGUGUCGACUAGGAGUCGUUUUAGGUUUGAAGAAUUACCAAGAAGCCCCGGCAGCAAUGAGCCAAGGGCGUAAAUGUGAAAAUAGGAGGAGAGAGUAAGAGCAACAUUCGAU
RNAcentral lists this long non-coding RNA (1022 nucleotides) under Vitis vinifera (wine grape). RNAcentral's name for it is "long non-coding RNA (VVIN_LNC007628)". Lineage: Eukaryota; Viridiplantae; Streptophyta; Magnoliopsida; Vitales; Vitaceae. The record is from RNAcentral.